AAAUCACAGCACUGGAGUGGGGCUCAGUCAGUGCAGCAGGCUCCAGGGGGGAGAGCCGAAUGCAACUGUUCCCAGGGACUGAGAGAGGAUUUUAAGGGCCCAGAUGGAAGCUUCUGGAGCUCCUGCCCCGUCGGCCCAGUGUUCAGACUACCUGUUCAGGACAAUGCCGUUGUACAGUAGUCUGCACAUUGGUUAGACUGGGCAAGGCACAGCAACGCCCUGGACGGCUGGGACACGAGUGGCUGUUUCCGAGGAGAGGAUGUUUGUUGGCUCCUCUUUCGUAUCUCAUAUCCAGUGUUUUUCUUCACAGGUUUUGCACAGUAGGGACCAAGAAGCUCUCGGGGACACCGCUGGGAAAAGACUGCUCCAGGGAAGACCUGCGGGGAUCAUGGGAUCUAUUCCAGAGAAAAUUAACCAACAGUGAUCAUCUUCGACUAAAACUGCUCGCGGAUAAAAUGGGAAGUGUUACAUCAUUCCUUAAUUGAGCAGAGUUAACUGGAUCAAAGUAUUUAUGGGAGAGAGAGGGAAAGCUAUACCGAAUUACAGUAAUUUUUAAUUUCUACAAAUAUGCUCUUUGUAAGUGAAUCACUCUAUAAAUAUUUUCUGUUGCACUGAAUGCAGCAACGAUAACAAAAUAGUUGCUUGAGGUAUUUGUUUUCCCAUACUCUGACCUUGUAAUUAUUUAAUGGCAGCCAAGUUCACUGAUGUUUUUGAUUUUCUCAAGAAAAAACACACAAAAGUCCUCUACUCAAAAGUGAUGACCAGAAACAGAAUCAGACAUUUAUUUUCUUGGAAUUAAAUAAAUGGAAACUUGCACUUCUCAACUCUUUGUUAAAGCUGUAGCACAUCUAAUCAUUGCAUAAAGGUUAAGCUGUGUACAAAACUCAUUUUUUCAUAGCCUCUAAAAAUUAUUUUGUUCUCCAUAAAGUUUCUAUCUGCUAUUUUUCUCAGAAUUUUACAGUGAACAGGAAAUAUACUAUUUAUUUUCUUUAAAAUUCUUUGAAAAAAAUCCUAAUUACAUAUUCCUUGGACAAUAAUGUUUUUUUGUUGUUGUUUUAGGAAAUCCCACUUAUUGUAAUUCUGACUAUCUGGUGAUUUUGUUGUUUAAAGGGCAGGGUAUGAAUUGAUCAUUUAUUUUAAAAGAGCCAGUAGAGUUAUUUUUGACUCACCAGAAUUAAAUUUUCUAUCUGUAUAUUUAACACCACCACUCUUUCUCUCAUACGAGUUAUAAGGAAAUUUCCAAAGGGCCUGGUUUUACUUUUUGGAUAUGAAAUGAAGUUUCAUUUUUUUGUGUUUAAGGGGCUGUUUUGUAACUGUCGUGCACUAACAAGGACCAAAACACAAUCUGAGUGAGCAACUCUGUGGCCAACAGCUGUGUAGUUUAUACCCUUUUGAUUCAUGGCAGGGCACUAUGAUUAAUGAAGCGGAGGACUUAAGUUCACAACUGCUUUUGAUUUGGUUUUCACAUCCAUACUUAAAAACUGCAUUAAAAAGAAUAUGAGAAAUUUAAAUAAGUUCCUGUUUUAAUAACAUAUUGGUAAAAAUACAACCCAUGUUAAAAUCCCAAAGGUCGGCUGGUUGAACUGCCAGAUACAUCAGGCUCAUUAAUUAUUUUUAAAAUGGCUGCCAUUUCCAUGUAAAUGAUAAGUUUCUUUUUCAUGGGGAAGGUUAUGGUACUUAUCUACUACAACAAACAUGUAUAAACAUGUCUUUAUCUUUAACUUCAGUAUUAAAAUAUGCAGAGUUUGGGGAAGAGGAAAAACAUCUGGUUCAAUUACUCUGAACUCUGACUGCAUUAUGGGCCAGUAAUAACAUGAACUGGAGUUAAGAAUAAACCUGGUGUUUAAUCUUUUUUUGUUUGUUUGGUUUUGCCUUAAAAUUUCAAUAUGAGUUUUCUGUCAAGUCAAUGAUCCAUGUUAGCACAUGGGGAACAAAUGUAUAAGUGUACUUUCUGAAUAAAGUCGAACGUCUAACUUGUUUUUAGUUCCAUAA
Long non-coding RNA from Myotis lucifugus (little brown bat), 1992 nucleotides. RefSeq lists it as uncharacterized. NCBI's taxonomy places the organism in Eukaryota, Metazoa, Chordata, Mammalia, Chiroptera, Vespertilionidae. The record is from RefSeq and is a predicted model, not a curated record. The transcript is spliced from 3 exons.